CGGUCAAAUGCGUUUUUCCUCUCUCCUCCUUCUCUUUCACGCACAAUUUUCUCUCUCCUCGUUCAAGUUCAUCCAACGAUUAGAGAGAGAAGCAAAACUAUGGCAGUACAAGAGCUUGAGAAAUCAAUGGCGGCAACUGAGAUUGAAGACCAGAGAAAAGACGAUGAUGAUUUGGAGGAAGGCGAGAUUAUCAACGACAACUCAAACGCCGAAAAACCCAGCAAAUCAAUCGCAACAACUCAUCCUCUUGAGAAUGCUUGGACUUUUUUGUUGGAUAAUCUUACUGCUAAAUCGAAACAAGCUACUUGGGGUAGAUCUAUUCGACCCAUUUAUACUUUCUCUACUGUUGAAGAAUUAUGGAGAAGCUGAGAAUUGUGACUGCUGACAAGGUCAUACUAAAUGAUCCGUGGCCUGGAAAACGAGUUGAAGAAGGCAAUUAUACUAAUAUUCCACUAAGGGAUGAGUUUCUUGAAAAUGCCCGUGUUUUUAUUUGUGAAACCUAUUAUUAGCACAUUGACAUGGGGUAUGUUUAUGUUAUAUGACUUUGUGUACUUUGUUUCGGUGAAUAAAGAUAAUCUUAUGGCAAUAACUAUUUGAUUUGGA
RNA transcript from Chenopodium quinoa (quinoa), 603 nucleotides. It is a transcript of the gene named eukaryotic translation initiation factor 4E-1-like, with no coding region annotated. The transcript is spliced from 3 exons. The record is from RefSeq and is a predicted model, not a curated record. NCBI's taxonomy places the organism in Eukaryota, Viridiplantae, Streptophyta, Magnoliopsida, Caryophyllales, Amaranthaceae.